RNAcentral lists this ribosomal RNA (1438 nucleotides) under metagenome. Its description in RNAcentral is "bacterial SSU rRNA". It matches the Rfam family "Archaeal small subunit ribosomal RNA". The record is from RNAcentral.
ACCCGUUGAUCCUGCGGGAGAUUGCUGCUAUUGGGAUUCGAUUAAGCCAUGCAAGUCCAGGGGGUACUUCGGUACCACCGGCAUAUCGCUCAGUAACCCGUCGAUAAUCUGCCCUUGGAUUCAGGAUAACCUCGGUAAACUGAGGCUAAUACUGAAUAGGGGAUCUGUGCUGGAAUGCACUUUCCCUGAAACGUAAGGUCCAAGGAUGAGUCGGCGGCUGAUUAGGUUGUUGGAGAGGUAAAGGCUCACCAAGCCGAAGAUCAGUAGGGGCCUUGAGAGAGGUAGCCCCGAGAAGGGUACUGAGACACUGACCCUACCCCUACGGGGUGCAGCAGGCGCGAAACCUUUACAAUGCACGAAAGUGUGAUAAGGGAAUCCCAAGUGCUCAUGUAUUGCAUGGGCUUUUUGCCAAGAGUAAAUAUCUUGGCGAAUAAGUGGUGGGAAAGACUGGUGCCAGCAGCCGCGGUAACACCAGCGCCACAAGUGGCAAUCACAAUUAUUGGGCCUAAAGCGUCCGUAGCCGGUUUGAUAAAUCUCUUGUGAAAUCAUGGGGCUUAACUUCAUGUCGUGCAGGAGACACUAUCAGACUUGGAACCGGGAGGAGUCAGAGGUAUUCUGGGGGGAGCGGUAAAAUGUUAUAAUCCCCGGAGGACCACCUGUGGCGAAGGCGUCUGACUAGAACGGAUUCGACGGUGAGGGACGAAGGCUGGGGGAGCAAACCGGAUUAGAUACCCGAGUAGUCCCAGCAGUAAACGCUGCGAGCUAGGUGUUGCAUAUUCUCCGAGAGUAUGCAGUGUCGAAGCAAAGGUGAUAAGCUCGCCGCCUGGGAAGUACGGUCGCAAGACUGAAACUUAAAGGAAUUGGCGGGGGAGCACAACAAGUGGUGCGGCGUGCGGUUUAAUCUAACUCAACGCAGAAAAUCUCACCAGGAGCGACGGUAGGAUGAAAGUCAGGCUGAAGACCUUACUUGACGAACCGAGAGGUAGUGCAUGGCCGUCGUCAGCUCGUGCCGUAAGGUGUCCUGUUAAGUCAGGCAACGAGCGAGACCUGCGCCUACAAUUGCCAGCGACUGCUUGCAGGAUUGGGCACAUUGUAGGGACUGCCCUGGAAACAGGGAGGAAGGUGCAGGCUACGGUAGGUCUGUAUGCUCCGAAUCCUCUGGGCUACACGCGCGCAACAAUGGUAAGGACAAUGGGAUACAACUCCGAAAGGAGAAGUCAAGCCUCUAAACCUUAUCUAAGUCCAGAUUGAGGGCUGUAACUCGCCCUCAUGACGAUGGAAUCCCUAGUAGUCGGAAUUCAACAUGUUCCGGUGAAUAUGUCCCUGCUCCUUGCACACACCGCCCGUCAAACCAACCGAGCAGGGUUUUGGUGAGGCUUAGUUUAAUUGAUUAAGUCGAACCAGAGCUCAGUGAGGUGGGUUAAGUCGUCACAAGGUA